GUUGACCUCGGAUCAGGUAGGAAUACCCGCUGAACUUAAGCAUAUCAAUAAGUGGAGGAA
This 60-nucleotide ribosomal RNA is filed under the name Colletotrichum brevisporum. Its description in RNAcentral is "partial 28S ribosomal RNA". It matches the Rfam family "Eukaryotic large subunit ribosomal RNA", at positions 1 to 58 of the family's 3401-position model. Lineage: Eukaryota; Fungi; Ascomycota; Sordariomycetes; Glomerellales; Glomerellaceae. The record is from RNAcentral.